GAUGAACGCUGGCGGCGUGCCUAAUACAUGCAAGUCGAGCGAACGGACGAGAAGCUUGCUUCUCUGAUGUUAGCGGCGGACGGGUGAGUAACACGUGGAUAACCUACCUAUAAGACUGGGAUAACUUCGGGAAACCGGAGCUAAUACCGGAUAAUAUUUUGAACCGCAUGGUUCAAAAGUGAAAGACGGUCUUGCUGUCACUUAUAGAUGGAUCCGCGCUGCAUUCGCUAGUUGGUAAGGUAACGGCUUACCAAGGCAACGAUUCAUAGCCGACCUGAGAGGGUGAUCGGCCACACUGGAACUGAGACACGGUCCAGACUCCUACGGGAGGCAGCAGUAGGGAAUCUUCCGCAAUGGGCGAAAGCCUGACGGAGCAACGCCGCGUGAGUGAUGAAGGUCUUCGGAUCGUAAAACUCUGUUAUUAGGGAAGAACAUAUGUGUAAGUAACUGUGCACAUCUUGACGGUACCUAAUCAGAAAGCCACGGCUAACUACGUG
RNAcentral lists this ribosomal RNA (497 nucleotides) under uncultured bacterium. Its description in RNAcentral is "partial 16S ribosomal RNA". It matches the Rfam family "Bacterial small subunit ribosomal RNA", at positions 28 to 507 of the family's 1533-position model. The record is from RNAcentral.